Molecule: long non-coding RNA, 419 nt
Organism: Microcebus murinus (gray mouse lemur)
Lineage: Eukaryota; Metazoa; Chordata; Mammalia; Primates; Cheirogaleidae
Source: RefSeq, a predicted model, not a curated record
CUAGUCUGUAUGGCAUAGACUAUUGCUCCUAGGCUACAAUCCAGUAGAGCAUGUUACUAUAUUAAAUAACACAGGCAAUUGUAACACGAUGAGUGGGAAGAUGAAAUCAGCUGAUAAGUCCAUGGAGUAAUUUAUAUGUCAAAUCUAAAUUCAAGCUAUAAUGUCAAGCUAAGGAAUCAUUUGCUUUUAAUAUGAAAAUGGCUUUUGUUGACAGAAAAUUGGUGAAGGUAAUUACACACAAGAGAAGAAGAAGGAAGCAGAAGCCCAAGCUCUUCACUCAACAAGGACUGAAUCCAUGCUUAAAUACUUAAUACUUGUUGAAUGAAUAAAUGAAUGAACAAAUGAAAUCCAACAAAACAUCCAAGAGGAGGUGGAAUUUUAGGUAUUCUUUGUCAUGAGUAGGUAACAGCUCAUUUUCA